RNAcentral lists this ribosomal RNA (1413 nucleotides) under Triticum aestivum (bread wheat). RNAcentral's name for it is "partial small subunit ribosomal RNA". Lineage: Eukaryota; Viridiplantae; Streptophyta; Magnoliopsida; Poales; Poaceae. The record is from RNAcentral.
AUGUCUGUGGCACGGACGCUGACGACCUUGUCCAUCCGGCGGGGCGAGCGCGAGCUCGUGGCGCCGGCGAGGCCCACGCCCUACGAGUUCAAGGUGCUCUCCGACAUCGACGACCAGGAGGUCCUCCGCUUCUAUCGCUCCGGCGCCUUCUUCUACCGCGGCGACGCCUCCAAGUCCGGCAUUGACCCGGCGAAGGCCAUCAAGUCGGCGAUCUCGGAGGCGCUCGUGCACUACUACCCUCUCGCCGGCCGGUUCCGGGAGCUCCAGCCGACGAGGAAGCUCGUGGUCGAGUGCACGGGGGAGGGGGUCGUGUUCGUCGAGGCGGACGCCGACGUCCGGAUGGAAGACUUUGGAAACUCGCUGGCACCGCCGGUGCCAUGUUACGAUGAGCUGUUGCCCGAGCAGGAGAGCGCGACCGCCGUUGUCGUCGACCGUCCUUUGCUCUUUGUUCAGGUGACGCGGCUGAGGUGCGGAGGCUUCGUCUUCGGGUUCCAGAUAUGCCACUGCAUCGCCGACGGCCCGGGGAUCGUGCAGUUCCUGACGGCGCUGACGGAGUUCACCCGCGGCGUGCCGGGCGCGCCGACCGUGCGGCCGGUGUGGCAGCGUGAGCUCCUCACGGCGAGCUGGCCGCCGGCUACCGCGCACGACCACGUGGAGUACGCGCCUCUCCCCGACCCCGGAAAGGACGUGGUCUCCUCCUCGGACAUCUUCUCGCAGCACACGUUCUUCUUCGGCCCCCGCGAGAUCGAGGCGCUCCGGUCCCAGGCCCCGCCGGCGCUGCGCACCGCCGCGUCGCGGUUCGACCUGAUCGGCGCCUUCAUGUGGCGGUGUCGUGCCGCCGCGCUGCGGUACGGCCCGGACGAGCUGGUCCGGCUGCACAUGUUCGUGAACGGCCGGGUGAGGAACAGGAGCCGGCACCGCCUGCCGAGGGGCUACUACGGCAACUCGUUCGCGUUCGCCUCCGCGUGCGCGCCCGCCGGGCAGCUGUGCCGGAGGCCCCUCGGCGAGGCGCUGCGGCUGCUGCUGGAGGCCAAGGCGCGGGCGGAGCAGGAAGGGUACGUGCAGUCGGCGGCCGGCUUCAACGCGGCGCACAGGAGGCCGGCGUUCCCCAAGGCCCGGACGUACCUCAUCUCGGACAUGACCCAGGGGGGGAUGAUGGCGGUGGAUUUCGGGUGGGGCACGCCGGUGUACGGAGGGCCGGCGACGAUCAUUCUGGCCACGUUCCAUCUGGAGGGGAGGAACGAGGCCGGUGAGGUGGGCGUCAACGUACCGACGAGGUUGCCUGUGCUGGCGCUGGAGCGGCUGAAGGUGGAGGUGAGCAAGGGGCUAACGGUCAGCGGUCGGACUGUCACUGAACCUGCGGACAAGAGCAAGUCAGCCUUGGUUCCUGGUCACGCUCUCGCAAAGCUGUAG